GGAAUAUAAUGGAUGAUUGCUUCUAGUGCUAGUCAAAACUAGAGGAGCGCCUCCCAGGAUCCUCUCGCCUGCGGGCACCGAGCUGCCGUCUCUGGGACAAGAUGAAGCUGGUUUUCUGGCAUCGGUUUUUUCUAUUAUUCGUGUUAGUUUCAACAUCACAGGGUAUGAGUUCAGAUGGCCUAGCUCUUCUUGCUCUGUCCAAAACCCUAAUACUACCAAGUUUCAUAAGAACCAACUGGAGUGGUUCUGAUGCAACUCCUUGUACAUGGAACGGUGUUGGCUGCAAUGGAAGGAACAGAGUGAUUUCUCUCGACCUAUCGUCAUCAGAGGUUUCAGGUUUUAUAGGACCUGAAAUAGGGCGUCUGAAAUACAUGCAGGUUCUCAUUUUAUCUGCUAACAACAUAUCUGGUUUGAUCCCUCUAGAAUUGGGCAACUGCAGUAUGCUUGAACAAUUGGAUUUGUCCCAAAACUUGCUUUCUGGCAACAUACCAGCAUCAAUGGGCAGCCUCAAGAAAUUAUCAUCACUGUCGCUCUACUACAAUUCUUUCAAUGGAACAAUACCAGAGGAGUUGUUCAAGAACCAGUUUCUGGAGCAAGUGUACCUACAUGGCAAUCAGCUCAGUGGUUCGAUACCCCCUUCUCGGUUGGUGAAAUGACAAGCCUUAAGUCAUUGUGGUUGCACGAAAAUAUGUUGUCUGGAGUUUUGCCCAGUUCAAUUGGCAACUGCACCAAGUUGGAGGAGCUGUAUCUACUCAAUAAUCAACUGAGUGGCAGUAUUCCAGAGUCCUUGAGUAAGAUCGAAGGCCUCAAGGUUUUUGAUGCCACUGCCAAUAGUUUCACGGGCGAGAUCUCUUUCAGUUUUGAGAACUGCAAGCUGGAAAUAUUCAUUUUGUCAUUCAAUAAUAUAAAGGGUGAAAUUCCCUCAUGGCUAGGGAAUUGCAGGAGCUUGCAACAACUUGGAUUUGUCAAUAAUAGUCUGUCUGGCAAAAUUCCAAAUUUUAUAGGCUUAUCCAGCAACCUCACAUAUCUUUUACUUUCACAGAACUCCCUGACUGGGCUGAUCCCACCUGAGAUUGGUAACUGUCGGUUGCUGCAGUGGCUAGAGCUAGAUGCAAACCAGCUGGAGGGCACUGUUCCUGAAGAAUUUGCAAAUUUACGGAAUUUGUCAAAGCUCUUUCUUUUCGAGAAUCACCUCAUGGGACUCUUCCCUGAGAGUAUUUGGAGUAUCCAAACCCUCGAGAGUGUCCUUCUUUAUCGCAACAAAUUCACAGGGAGGCUACCUUCAGUGUUAGCUGAGCUGAAGUCCCUAAAGAACAUCACACUGUUUGAUAAUUUCUUCACUGGAGUCAUACCACAGGAGCUGGGUGUUAAUAGCCCCUUGGUCCAGAUAGAUUUCACAAAUAACAGUUUUGUUGGUGGUAUCCCACCAAACAUUUGUUCAGGAAAAGCAUUGAGAAUUUUGGACUUGGGGUUUAAUCAUCUCAACGGUAGCAUCCCAUCCAGUGUUCUGGACUGCCCAAGUUUGGAACGGUUAAUUCUCAGAGAUAACAAUCUUAGUGGAUCAAUUAUGUGAUCCAUAAGAUUUGGAAAUGCAUCUACAGGUUACCUUUUUAUGAAACGGGAGAGGUCUAGUUGUUUUGUUUGGCCAGGCAUCUAUAGGUUGGGCCAUGCAUAAAAAACACUCAAAUUAGUGG
Zea mays is the source of this 1694-nucleotide RNA transcript. It is a transcript of the gene named Leucine-rich repeat family protein pseudogene, with no coding region annotated. The record is from RefSeq and is marked validated. NCBI's taxonomy places the organism in Eukaryota, Viridiplantae, Streptophyta, Magnoliopsida, Poales, Poaceae. The transcript is spliced from 2 exons.